GAUGAACGCUGGCGGCGUGCCUAACACAUGCAAGUCGAACGAGGCAAAUAAGUUGAAGUUUUCGGAUGGAUUCUUAUUUACCGAGUGGCGGACGGGUGAGUAACGCGUGGGUAACCUGCCUCAUACAGGGGGAUAACGGUUAGAAAUGACUGCUAAUACCGCAUAAGCGCACAGUACCGCAUGGUACGGUGUGAAAAACUCCGGUGGUAUGAGAUGGACCCGCGUCUGAUUAGCUAGUUGGUGAGGUAACGGCCCACCAAGGCGACGAUCAGUAGCCGACCUGAGAGGGUGACCGGCCACAUUGGGACUGAGACACGGCCCAGACUCCUACGGGAGGCAGCAGUGGGGGAUAUUGCACAAUGGAGGAAACUCUGAUGCAGCGACGCCGCGUGAGUGAAGAAGUAUUUCGGUAUGUAAAGCUCUAUCAGCAGGGAAGAAAAUGACGGUACCUGACUAAGAAGCCCCGGCUAACUACGUGCCAGCAGCCGCGGUAAUACGUAGGGGGCAAGCGUUAUCCGGAUUUACUGGGUGUAAAGGGAGCGUAGACGGCGACGCAAGUCUGAAGUGAAAUACCCGGGCUCAACCUGGGAACUGCUUUGGAAACUGUGUUGCUAGAGUGCUGGAGAGGUAAGCGGAAUUCCUAGUGUAGCGGUGAAAUGCGUAGAUAUUAGGAAGAACACCAGUGGCGAAGGCGGCUUACUGGACAGUAACUGACGUUGAGGCUCGAAAGCGUGNGGAGCAAACAGG
RNAcentral lists this ribosomal RNA (747 nucleotides) under uncultured bacterium. Its description in RNAcentral is "bacterial SSU rRNA". It matches the Rfam family "Bacterial small subunit ribosomal RNA", at positions 28 to 776 of the family's 1533-position model. The record is from RNAcentral.